RNAcentral lists this unclassified non-coding RNA (634 nucleotides) under Hevea brasiliensis (rubber tree). The record is from RNAcentral. Lineage: Eukaryota; Viridiplantae; Streptophyta; Magnoliopsida; Malpighiales; Euphorbiaceae.
CUUCUGGACAGCUACAUUCUUUGUUUGCCAAUUCAGAACUUAUUCAGCUUGAGUAAUCGGGGUUAUUUGACUUUCAUUAUCAACCUUGGUUGAAUGAAUGAAAGGUCUGGUAGAGAUUUUAGUCAGUUGGUCUGUUUGUUGAGCUAAUGGAGCGAAAUCUGCUUCAUGAGAGGCAGGAGAGAACAUCAUAUAGGGUUGCACAAGGGGUAAUGCAGGGGGAAGAGAAGAAACUGGUUUAGGAGGAGGUUGUUUCCUUUCUUCUUUUCUGAUGAUCUCGAGGGCAAGCUCAAAAAUGGGAAGAGGUUUCUUCUGUUUGGUUUCUUCAUGGAUGCCAAUCCAUGGGCUAUUAUCUGGAUAAUCUCUUCUGAGAACUUGCUGAGGUUUGCAAGAGGCCUUCUUGGUCUUCUUAGUAAUCUUCUUCCAGUUUUUAUCAGAUAAAUGAUGGUCAUAUUCAUUUUUCCAGUAGUUAUCACAACAGUCACAGUCUUCAUAACACAUUUCAGAUCCUGGGAGAUCCCAGGGGCAGUGACCGUCUAUCUUCUGAGGAUAGAUAUAGUGUUUAUCAGGGGUUACCGCUCCAAUGGGAAAAUCUUCUUGCUCCUUUUCUAACGGCUGGACCAUCAUGGUUUGUAAC